CUUAAAUUCACUUUGUUUCUCCUCCAGCAACAGGCGAUGUAUUGUGCCCUGCAUUUCUCCUGCAUGACAGAAGGCCAAACCAAUCAGUGACACACAGCGAAAGGACAGCUGGCCAAAGAGGCCUCGUAGCUCGCUUCCUGAUGGCUCGAGGCCCAACCAUUUUAUCACAUUCGGUAUUUGCACUUCAAGAAGAGAUUCUUCUUCAAGUGAAGUGGAAUUUUCCCACCUGAAAAACCAAACUCAGCCUUUACCUUACGGAGAACCAUAACGACACUGUAUGUCCUAAGGAAGCAGGACGGAUCUCUCUCGUCCAAUCCCAGCUCCGUUUUCAUUGCAGCCCAAGGGCCUCUUCCAAAUUCGUCUUCUAUUGGCUGCUGGGAAGGAGGCAUCUCCUAGAGUCGCACACGCAAUUCCAGGUUAAAGCUUACUUUUCACCUUACCUUCGGGUAAAGCACUUAGUCAUUUGUAGACAACAUUAUCCAUGGGAGCUGUUUUGCUCUACUGGGUGCAUGCCAUAUUGCUUAUGCUCCUUCCUCUGCUCACUCCAGAAUCUCCUCCUCGCCACCUUACCCUCUCUCACACACAUUAAAACAUAUAAAAGAAUAGUUGAAAGAAACAUCUCUAUUGAAGCAGAACAAGAAAGUGUCUCCACGACUGGACCUAUGAAAAACUUGCUGUAGUCCAAGACAUGCAAGGGCUGGUUUGGGUUACUCAGCACAUGCCCAGAGGCAUCUUUUAAAACUACCUGAACACUUCCCUGACAGGGCUUGUAAAAUGUUGUUUCCAGGACUGCUCUGGCUCAUGAGGUGAGUUUCUGCAAUUCAUCAUCCUUAAUAUUGACCUUAUCUGUACAAUAAGAAUAGCCAAGUGACGCUUGGAAGUACUAGGCUAAAGAUUUCAAGAUUUUCCA
Molecule: long non-coding RNA, 910 nt
Organism: Podarcis raffonei (Aeolian wall lizard)
Lineage: Eukaryota; Metazoa; Chordata; Lepidosauria; Squamata; Lacertidae
Exons: 3
Source: RefSeq, a predicted model, not a curated record